Molecule: long non-coding RNA, 540 nt
Organism: Carcharodon carcharias (great white shark)
Lineage: Eukaryota; Metazoa; Chordata; Chondrichthyes; Lamniformes; Lamnidae
Exons: 2
Source: RefSeq, a predicted model, not a curated record
UGCGCGCCGCUGAGCUAGCGCGAGCGCGGCCUCAUCAAGAUCCAGUGGCAGCGGCUGUCACAAGCCGAAACAGAGCCCUGGGGCCCGGCAGACAGGCGGCGAGGGUCCCGGGAGAGCGAGGGGCAUCAUUAAAGCGGUGGUGCAGCACAUGCCCCAUCCGAGCCGCCGCUUCCCAGUUUCUUCUGUUUUCACCGAGUCCGAUUCACAACAAAGGAACGGCCCAGAAUGCUUCGCGACUAACAUUGUGGAGCAUGCGCACUGGCAGAGCCGGGAAUGAACGCGUUGGAUAGAGAGGUUUCUGGGGCAGAGAGGAUUGUGGGAACUGCGGCCGCCAUUUUUCAGCACCUGUCGAAUAUUAGAAGGAGAGCAUUUGGAGACAGGAAACUCAAACCUAACAUCGUCUCAAGAUCUGAUAGAGUCACUUGAAUUAUCAAGACUUGAAUAUCGUUGGCCUUUAAAUCUGGAAGGAAAAAUGUUUUGUCUGUUCUGUCUCUAGGAAAAGAUUUCAAACAUCAGCGCGACUGGAAAAGCACCAAGGUA